UACGGAGGGGACUAGCGUUGUUCGGAAUUACUGGGCGUAAAGCGCACGUAGGCGGAUUUGUAAGUCAGGGGUGAAAUCCCGGGGCUCAACCUCGGAACUGCCUUUGAUACUGCAAAUCUCGAGUCCGGAAGAGGUGAGUGGAAUUCCUAGUGUAGAGGUGAAAUGCGCAGAUAUCGGGAGGAACACCAAUGGCGAAGGCAGCUCGCUGGGACGGUACUGACGCUGAGGCGCGAAAGCGUGGGGAGCAAACAGG
This 253-nucleotide ribosomal RNA is filed under the name uncultured bacterium. Its description in RNAcentral is "partial 16S ribosomal RNA". It matches the Rfam family "Bacterial small subunit ribosomal RNA", at positions 524 to 776 of the family's 1533-position model. The record is from RNAcentral.